UAGUAACUGCGAGUGAAGCGGGAAGAGCUCAAAUUUCGAAUCUGGCAGUCUUUGGCUGUCCGAGUUGUAAUCUAGAGAAGCGUUUUCCGUGCUGGGACCGUGUACAAGUCUCCUGGAAGGGAGCGUCAUAGAGGGUGAGAAUCCCGUCUCUGACACGGGCACUGCCAGCGCCAUGUGAUGCGCUCUCGACGAGUCGAGUUGUUUGGGAAUGCAGCUCAAAAUGGGUGGUAAACUCCAUCUAAAGCUAAAUACUGGCGAGAGACCGAUAGCGAACAAGUACCGUGAGGGAAAGAUGAAAAGAACUUUGGAAAGAGAGUUAAACAGUACGUGAAAUUGCUGAAAGGGAAACGCUCGAUGUCAGUCGCAUCGACCGGGGAUCAACCUUGCUUCUCGCUGGGUGUACUUUCCGGUCGAUGGGUCAGCAUCAGUUUCGGUCGCCGUACAAGGGUGAGAGGAACGUGGCACUNUUCGGGGUGUGUUAUAGCCUUUCAU
RNAcentral lists this ribosomal RNA (492 nucleotides) under Boletus sp. Garcia 16917. RNAcentral's name for it is "eukaryotic LSU rRNA". It matches the Rfam family "Eukaryotic large subunit ribosomal RNA", at positions 81 to 569 of the family's 3401-position model. Lineage: Eukaryota; Fungi; Basidiomycota; Agaricomycetes; Boletales; Boletaceae. The record is from RNAcentral.